Sycon ciliatum is the source of this 1516-nucleotide long non-coding RNA. RefSeq lists it as uncharacterized. Lineage: Eukaryota; Metazoa; Porifera; Calcarea; Leucosolenida; Sycettidae. The transcript is spliced from 2 exons. The record is from RefSeq and is a predicted model, not a curated record.
GAAAUGAAAGCACUUUUUGAAACAGAUCAUAAAACUUUAAACUUUGGGAAGCUAGAUAAUCACGAUUGCCAUGCCACUGGCAAUCUGAUCGUGGGAUAGUGGUGACGCGAUGGAGCAGAUUGGAUACUGCUCUCCUAUUCCUCGUAACAAAGUUAUGCCGAACCCGUAGGGAGGAUGCAGUCGUCAUUGCCUCCUGGUUUCUGUGCAACGAAAUUACCGCUGCACUUCCUGGAGAGUCCACACUCAGGGAAAAGCCAUGGAUAUUGUGAUGUUCCGCACAGACCAGCUGCUGGUCCGGAGCUACGGUCCCCCAAAGCUGACAAGUGGGUAUCCCCACAGUUCGACAACACCGCCACACCUCGCAGGAAGCGCAAGGAGGCGACCAAAAGCCGUCUUCGCAGACACGAUCAUAAAUCGGCCAAGAAGUCUCAAAAACCGGCAGCGGUUUCGACAGUGUCUUCGUUACGUCGCAGCCAGCGACAGCAAACAGUGUCCCGUAAGCCCGCUUUAACCCUAGUCAGCACCAAGCUAGGCGCUAGAUCACAUCGUUGUGCCAGAGACUUGCAAGUAGCCUCUCAGUUCACUGAGUGUGUGCCGUCAGCAGUUGAAGAUCAUGUACUCUCACCACUGUCUGAGCGUAGCGCUAACUGCACAUCAGACCACACUGGUAAUCUCCCGCUACACAAAAGAGUGCGCCCAGACUGGCUACGGGAUGUCCGGCAGUGUCCUAAUGUUGGUAAGGAGGAUGCUGACCCGCGGUCCGUUCUUGUUGCGGAGACUCCGCAUGGCCACGGACAACAUGCACUGCGGCGCCUGCGACCCCGUGCUGCUGACACACAACACAAAGCCAUUCCGCCAUCGCCUUGCACACCUUCAUGAAUAACAGAACAUACUUGCAAGCUGACAGACACUACCUGCCUACUAAUACUUCAUAUCUGGAAGUUAAAAUAGAUGAUGGCUGUACGGAACAUAUACUCUCUCGUCUCUCCUCAUGAAGUGAUCACAACCUCCAGCAGCUCUAAUGAGUAUACUAUUUUCAACCCACCUUAAAUAAUCCUUCAUACUCCAGACUGACACCAGCUUCAUUAAUAAUAAUUAUUAAUAACAACAGCUUGACUCAAACAAACACUGCACAGAUCUCCUCAUACUGAUCUGCCUAGGACUGUGAAUAAGCUUCGGUUUGAACCCAUCAUGCAUCAAUGAUUCCAUUUUCUAGCAGCAAGAGUACCUAACCCCCCCCCCCCCCCCCCCCUCUUGCCAUGCAUGUUGUGUCUUAGUAUAGUAACAGUCAGUGAUUGUGCUACAUGUAUGUCAUGUAUAUCUAUCUUUCUACCCAUGAAAUGCAUCAGAGUUUAUCCUUGAUAGUAAUAUCUUUGCUUUUUAGGUUUUAGGUGCGUAUAACGUAGUAACCGUCUGCUUUUUGAAGUACUGUAUCAUGGUUUUUCAAUAUCCAUUGCUGUCCUCUUUAACAAAGAAUAUUGCACCAUGUACUUGAAGUACUUGGGCACGAUCCAGA